ACGAAGGGGGCUAGCGUUGUUCGGAAUUACUGGGCGUAAAGCGCACGCAGGCGGAUUGAUUAGUCGGGGGUGAAAUCCCGGGGCUCAACCUCGGAAUUGCCUUCGAUACUGUCAGUCUUGAGUCCGGGAGAGGUGAGUGGAAUUCCUAGUGUAGAGGUGAAAUUCGUAGAUAUUAGGAAGAACACCAGUGGCGAAGGCGGCUCACUGGCCCGGUACUGACGCUCAUGUGCGAAAGCGUGGGGAGCAAACAGGAUUAGAUACCCUGGUAGUCCACGCCGUAAACGAUGGAUGCUAGCCGUUGGGGAGCUUGCUCUUCGGUGGCGCAGCUAACGUAUUAAGCAUCCCGCCUGGGGAGUACGGUCGCAAGAUUA
RNAcentral lists this ribosomal RNA (371 nucleotides) under uncultured bacterium. RNAcentral describes it as "bacterial SSU rRNA". It matches the Rfam family "Bacterial small subunit ribosomal RNA", at positions 525 to 896 of the family's 1533-position model. The record is from RNAcentral.